CUAAAACAAGAGCAUCAGAUCCUUUCAUGAUUCUAAGUCUCUUACAAGAGGAAGAGAACAUAUCCCAUGGAACAUCACCAACCAACAUCCAAUCUCCAUCUUUAUCCUCGUACGUUGGUAAAACUCCAGAUCCUUUGUAUCCUUCUCUUUCGCUGUAUUCACCGAUCGUGAACUUGAACAUGUUCUCCAACGCCUUGAGAAGCUCUGGAUAGUUUUUGUAUGUUUUGAGAUCUAUUUUACGGAGGUAUGGAGCUCCGUCCAUACUCACUUUCACAUAGCUAACACUGUUGUUGUUCUUACGGUAAGAUCUCACCGGAGGCCAACCAACUAUUUGACUUCUGUAAAUUAGCAACGAAUCAUUAUUAGUACAUUUUCAUUAGAUAAAAAAUAUGAAAUAAUAUAUUGAAACUCAGAUCUUUACUUACUUUGUAGGAGGUGUAGAUUCUUCCUCGUUAUCGCUUUGUAGUUGACGCUUGCUGCUUCUAACGCAAGAAACCUCUUGUUCUUCUUUAGCUUGUUCUGUUCCAGGUAAUCCAAGACGAAGCUCUGUGUCCUUAAGGUUAAGCUCAUUGACUUUCUCAUACGCCAUUGUUUUUUUCAAGAUCAAGAAGUCGAUCUCUCUAUGUUCUUGUGUGGUU
This 638-nucleotide long non-coding RNA is filed under the name Brassica rapa (field mustard). RNAcentral describes it as "long non-coding RNA (BRAP_LNC002086)". The record is from RNAcentral. Lineage: Eukaryota; Viridiplantae; Streptophyta; Magnoliopsida; Brassicales; Brassicaceae.